CGCGGGGUGGAGGAACGGUUACCUCGGGAGCCUCAUAAGCUUCAGGACCGGGUUCAAUUCCCGGCCCCGCAACAA
Molecule: transfer RNA, 75 nt
Filed under: Candidatus Colwellbacteria bacterium RIFCSPLOWO2_01_FULL_48_10
Lineage: Bacteria; Candidatus Colwelliibacteriota
Description: tRNA-Met
Rfam family: tRNA
About the family: Transfer RNA (tRNA) molecules are approximately 80 nucleotides in length. Their secondary structure includes four short double-helical elements and three loops (D, anti-codon, and T loops).
Source: RNAcentral